UUUAAGGUCUUUGGUAGUGAAAAAAAGCUCCAUAGGUGGUUGUAACAUGACAAAAAUGUGAAAAAGGGUAUGAAUACUUUAGCAAAGCAACAAACCCUAUGAUCAUAAAAUGAAAGUAGUCCUUCCAGGAGCCUUGAAAAUUAAACAAAAGCUGUGGGAUUAAAUAACGACAGGCAUUAAAGACAGUAGAUAAAUGCUAACAGGAGUUCUGUUUGGAAAGAGAUUUACUUCAGAUUUAAAAACCAUUAGACGUGGCUGCCUCGCCUUCAACCAAAUGCUUAAAGAGAUCAAAAAAAAAAAAAAAAAAAAACACCCUAAUGGCUCCUGUGCAAAAAACUGAGGCAAACAUUUCAUUGUACAAUAAACCUUUAAUAAAUAGUUUAUCAUUAGUUUCCCGUAUUUACAUAAUAACCACCAUUUACUUACGUUGCCAUACACAUUUCUUGGCUAAUUUUAGGCACACAGAGAAGGGGGGGUUCAGGCCACAAACCACGUUGCACUAAAAUUAAAGAGUGGCUAAUAACAGGUACGCGUUUAGAAAUAUAUAACUGCACCGUACGACCAAACAGGACCAAGAGACGGCCAGCUCCUCGAGCGACAAGUAUAUAUUUACAUUUGCUGUGUGUACAGGUGAUUUUUGUACCUUUACAGUCGUCUGCUUGGAGUAUGAGCGCACAUGGAGGCUGGUGCAGAUUCUUACCAAUUUACAGAGGAUCGGGGAUGUGUGUUUACCUCUGUGCUUCGUCCAAUAAUCUACGAAUCGGGAAAGUCUAAGAUUAAAUUAACUUUAAAGACCGCCUGGAUGAAUAAGAACUGUGACAGGCUCAGUUAAGUUAUGUGGUCAAAAUGAUGUGGAACAUUCAGAUAUCAAUCUGGUAAACACACAAAUACACUCAAAACAGAAAAAAAAAAACUGUGAAAUGCUUGUCAUUAAAUGAAGACCAAGGCUGAAGAGAUCUAAACAAACAAACAAAAAUAAAAAUGGAAAAGUUCCUAAAAAUGACAGAAUCAGGACUUAAAAGCUAUUAAAAAAUAGAGCCUUUGAAGUUACAUCUUCUGCCAGAGAUAUUAAGACAAAAAAGAGAGAAGAAACCAAUAAUCAAAUUACUCAAGUGCAUACAGAGUACAAAAAGAAGCAAAAAUAAAACACAUUUGGCACACAUGUGAGCUCAGUUAUUAAAUAUCAGUUAGCUAGAAGAGGUAUGAUUAAAACAAACAAGAAGAAAAUAAUAAAACCUGCAGGGGAACAACUCCCUAAAACCACCAAAAGAAAGAGCGGGACGCCACCUACAGGCAACAAAAAUAGACUGUACCGAUUUGUACAACAUCAUUUGAGUCCAUUUCAGGUGCAGCAUCUUCAAAUGAGGUUUAAUUCACACUGAAACGGAAGAGAAGGGUUGUUAACAUCCUUUUUCAUUAAUUAUUUUAUUCCUCAUUUCUAGGGAUUGCUUGGAAAUGCAGGACCAAAAGCAUUAAUAUUUCUUUAUCAAAGUUUGAGCAGCUUCAGUCCUUAUGGUGCAGCAGGUUAAAUUUCCCUGCAAAGCUCAAAGAAAAGCAGCAGCGCGGUUUAAGGUAGGAUGGUUGGAAAUGUUUAGAGAUGGAUUCUGGAAAAUGAAAUCUGCUUUCAGAAACUCCUCCCUCCUCAUCAAGGCUCGAACUUUAAACAGAUAAAGCUGGAAAAAGUCAACAAUGUUGCUCACAGUCCACCCAAUGUCCUGGAUUUUAAUUAGUCUCGAUAGGAUAAUCUCUAGUAGAGCUGAGCGUUUAAUUUUGCAAAUCUGACCUUUUUUCAAACAAGUUUUUUCCACUCUUUACAAUGACAUUUCCAGUGAACAAGAUUGUAUUUAAUGCUGCAGAUAAUGUCUGAACAUCCUCAAACAGAUCGGCUGAAACUCGACUCUUUAAAAUUUAUGAAGUUCAAGGACGAAGCUGAAGAACCUUUUUGUUUUUUGUACGUUUUGUCCGCACUGGAUUAACUGCAGCCGCAUGGAAAUAAGCUAUGAGGCAAAAUAUUCAUGAGUCGCAUUAAAACAGAGGGAAAAACCUGCUCGCAUUUAGAUAACUGCCCCGUUUGAAAGCGAAAACAGGACCUGCUGCCUCUGGAAUGUCACUGGUGAGCGAGCUAACUGGGAUUAGUACUGGGAGGGGAAAAAAAAAAUCCUGAUCAGGAAGAGCUUAUUCUAGGUGGUACGACCCAAUCAACGCUUUUUACAGCAUAAUGAAUCAUUUAAUUCAGUACCUGACCCGACUGAGCAGGAAAAUGACACUAAAUAUAGAGGUCCAAUGCUGAAGGUCCAAUGCAUAAGCAGCAGACUGGGCUCAGGAAAGCAGGAGGAAUAAGCUGAAUUUGUAGAUUUAAAUUACAGCUCCCAAUGAGGAAACAGGUUUUAGAUCGAAAACAAGAUUUUACAUUUCUGCAAUCAAACCUCCAGGAUAUUAAACACUGAACUGUUAAAUACAGAGUUCCUGCAGACUUUUCACAUUAAGAUGUUCAGACUGAGAUCUGCAGGUUCUACUGAAAUAUAUAUAUAUAAAAAAACAAGUAUCUUCAAAAUUAUGGCAGAUGAAAUUCUACAGGGGGCGACUUUAAAUAAGAAAAGUGUAAGGAAGAAUAAAAGGUAGGAAGGACAAAAGAAGAAGAAAUAAAGGUUCAUGGAGAAAGAAAGGAAAGUAAUGGAGGAAGGAUAGAGAGACGAGGCAGGAACAAGGAACUCAAAGAAGGAAGAAAGGAAAGAACUGCAGAAAAAAUUAAAUAUUUAGACAUUGGGAGAGGGAGAAAAGUUUGAAAACAAAUAUUUUUUCCAUCCUCUACUUUCUAACUGAAGUCAAACUGUACUCCUCAGGAACUCUGUAAAUAAGAGCAACCGGAGAGCUUAGCGAGGCGAUGCAGGUUGGACAAACGCGUCGUGUUUUCAGUCGGCCGAUUAAACAUGAGGGAACAAAUGAAACCUUCAGUUUUUAGUAAAACUGUAGAAAUCAACACACACCACAAAGUGAAGAGACUUACUGCUGCAGGACUGCUACACUGCAAGAAACAUAAAGUCUUAAAGUAUUUUGUCUAAUUUCUAAUGCAAACAUCUUAGUAUUUAAAUAAAAUUAACUUAUAAGUAACUUAUCAGCAAGUUACAGGAGCUUGUUUUGAGUGAAUAAUCCUUAAUAUUUCUCAAGCUCAACUGGCAGAUUAUUUCACUUAUAACACGACAUUUUUCCAAUGUUAUGAAUGAAAUAAUCUGCUAGUGAAACUAGUACUUUUUAAAAUCAAUAGUAGGAAAUUAUUGACUUCAAACAAGCUGAUUAGCUACUUGUAAGUCAGUUUUGUUUUAUUUCAAAUGUACUAAGGUGUUUGCGCUAGAAACUAAACAAAAACGCUCGGUAAGAUUUUGUGUUUUUGCAGUGUGAUAUUCUCAUGAAUGCAUUAAUGAUAUUCCCAGAAACUUUGUGUUAACAGUCAGCGUCGACCACUGACCUGCUAAUCGAUAGCUCUACGUGGUCCUGAUGCUUUAGACAUUAAAAAACAAAACAAAACAAAAAACGUGGUUCUGUAAGCCUUCGCCCUGAUGCUGAUACACGUCAAGAACCGAUUUGAACAGGAAGGGUAUGAAUGCGGAGGAAUAAAAAGUGUCUAACAGCUCCGAUGGGAGCGACAGAGUAAGAUUACAGAGCCUUCUCAGACCUUGGUCUUCAUACAGGUUAUGUCUAUUUUUUUUUUAAAUUAUUAUUAUUAUUUAAAUGGUAAGCCACUUCAAGGCAACGUUUGUUUCUUGAAUUAAAAACUUGAAGCACAACUGGACUUCAGUUUGAACAGAGAAAAAUAUACAACCCAAACUGUACUAUGAAUCUAGAGAACUGCAAGUAAACAUUGAAAAAGGACUUCAGCUAACGAAGUGGUCUCUUUCCUGCACUUCUCUCCGUAAGAAGUCUGAUAUCUGAAUAAAUCUGUGGUCCUGACGCUGAAGCCUUCAUCAUCUGAACAGGUCAGCCAUCCUGGCUGAGGUUAGGCAGCCUUUCCUCAACGCUCCGCUUAACAGGUCCGAAAACGACGACGAGCGUUGGGACACAAGUUAUCUUUCCAGUACGAGAGCUCGAGUGUUUGUCGUUACACUCCAGCUGGACGAAAACCAAUAUCAAGACUCACACAGGUACGUAGUGGCAUUUUAAAUAAACACCCCUCUCUCGUGCUUGGUUCUAUGUGCCACACCUGCAGAGAAAAUGGAGUCCAGCUGAGCAGCGUCUCUCUCACUCACACCCAAAAAAA
Molecule: long non-coding RNA, 4255 nt
Organism: Poecilia latipinna (sailfin molly)
Lineage: Eukaryota; Metazoa; Chordata; Actinopteri; Cyprinodontiformes; Poeciliidae
Exons: 2
Source: RefSeq, a predicted model, not a curated record